AUGCUGCACAGACACAUCCUGGACUCACCGCUGGAAUUGUGUUCCUGUGACCUCACUGGGGUGAAUAACACCUCCCUCCUACAGUCUCUCUUCUUAUCAGGUGGACGCCUGCAGGGAAUUCUGGGAGGGCUCCUGUUUGUCACCUGGGAGGAUGACCUCUCCCCCCUCCCUGGGAAUGGGGUCUGUCCUGUCCUCACUGGGUCUUGGGCAGAGGUUGUGUUGACUCAGCCCCACUCUGUGUUGGGGUCUCUGGAGCAGAAGGUCACUAUCUCCUGCACCCGCAGCAGCGGUAACGUUGGGAGUUACUAUGUGCACUGGUACCAGCAGCGUCCUGGCAGUGCCCCCACCACCGUAAUCUACAAGGAUGACCAAAGACCCUCCGGGGUUCCCAAUCGUUUCUCUGGCUCCAUUGACACCUCCUCCAGUGCUGCCGACCUGACCAUCUCUGGGCUGCAGCCUGAGGACGAGGCCAACUACUACUGCUCAAGCUGGAAUUUUCAUGAGUUCCUUUCUUUUCUUUCCAAAAUAUAA
Molecule: non-coding RNA, 531 nt
Organism: Eubalaena glacialis (North Atlantic right whale)
Lineage: Eukaryota; Metazoa; Chordata; Mammalia; Artiodactyla; Balaenidae
Source: the annotation of a RefSeq genome assembly